GACGAGGGGUCCUAGCGUUGUUCGGAAUCAUUGGGCGUAAAGAGCGUGUAGGCGGCCAGAUAGGUCAGCUGUGAAAACUCGAGGCUCAACCUCGAGACGUCGGUUGAAACCAUCUGGCUAGAGUCCGGAAGGGGAGAGUGGAAUUCCCGGUGUAGCGGUGAAAUGCGCAGAUAUCGGGAAGAACACCCGUGGCGAAGGCGGCUCUCUGGGACGGUACUGACGCUGAGACGCGAAAGCGUGGGGAGCGAACAGG
This 253-nucleotide ribosomal RNA is filed under the name uncultured bacterium. RNAcentral's name for it is "partial 16S ribosomal RNA". It matches the Rfam family "Bacterial small subunit ribosomal RNA", at positions 524 to 776 of the family's 1533-position model. The record is from RNAcentral.